RNAcentral lists this ribosomal RNA (118 nucleotides) under Saimiri boliviensis boliviensis (Bolivian squirrel monkey). Lineage: Eukaryota; Metazoa; Chordata; Mammalia; Primates; Cebidae. The record is from RNAcentral.
GUCUACGGCCAUACCACCCUGAACGUGCCCAGUCUCGUCUGAUCUUGGAAGCUAAGCAGGUUGGGCCUGGUUUGUACUUGGAUGGGAGACCGCCUUGGAAUACCAGGUGCUGUAGGCU